CCUACGGGUAGCAGCAGUAGGGAAUAUUGCUCAAUGGGGGAAAGACUGAAGCAGCAACGCCGCGUGGAGGAUGAAGGUUUUCGGAUUGUAAACUCCUUUUGUUAGAGAAGAUAAUGACGGUAUCUAACGAAUAAGCACCGGCUAACUCCGUGCCAGCAGCCGCGGUAAUACGGAGGGUGCAAGUGUUACGCGGAAUCACUGGGCGUGAAGAGCGCGUAGGCGGGAUAGCAAGUCAGAUGUGAAAUCCUAUGGCUUAACCAUAGAACUGCAUUUGAAACUGUUAUUAUAGAGUAUGGGAGAGGUAGGUGGAAUUCUUGGUGUAGGGGUAAAAUGCGUAGAGAUCAAGAGGAAUACUCAUUGCGAAGGCGACCUGCUAGAACAUAACUGACGCUGAUGCGCGAAAGCGUGGGGAGCAAACAGGAUUAGAUACCCUAGUAGUC
This 440-nucleotide ribosomal RNA is filed under the name uncultured bacterium. RNAcentral describes it as "partial 16S ribosomal RNA". It matches the Rfam family "Bacterial small subunit ribosomal RNA", at positions 338 to 795 of the family's 1533-position model. The record is from RNAcentral.